Molecule: microRNA precursor, 63 nt
Filed under: Notechis scutatus (mainland tiger snake)
Lineage: Eukaryota; Metazoa; Chordata; Lepidosauria; Squamata; Elapidae
Also listed under: 4 other names
Description: mir-155 microRNA precursor family
Rfam family: mir-155 microRNA precursor family
Source: Rfam by way of RNAcentral
CUGUUAAUGCUAAUUGUGAUAGGUGUUUUAUUCUGAUCAACUCCUACAUGUUAGCAUUAAUAG